CACGUAGGGUGCGAGCGUUGUCCGGAAUUAUUGGGCGUAAAGAGCUCGUAGGCGGUGUGUCGCGUCGGCCGUGAAAACCUGCAGCUUAACUGUGGGCUUGCGGUCGAUACGGGCAUCACUGGAGUUCGGCAGGGGAGACUGGAAUUCCUGGUGUAGCGGUGAAAUGCGUAGAGAUCAGGAGGAACACCCAUGGCGAAGGCAGCGCUCUGGUCGGCAUCUGACGCUGAGAGGCGAAAGCGUGGGGAGCGAACGGG
This 254-nucleotide ribosomal RNA is filed under the name uncultured bacterium. Its description in RNAcentral is "partial 16S ribosomal RNA". It matches the Rfam family "Bacterial small subunit ribosomal RNA", at positions 524 to 776 of the family's 1533-position model. The record is from RNAcentral.